This 2523-nucleotide ribosomal RNA is filed under the name human gut metagenome. Its description in RNAcentral is "bacterial LSU rRNA". It matches the Rfam family "Bacterial large subunit ribosomal RNA", at positions 14 to 2555 of the family's 2925-position model. The record is from RNAcentral.
AGGGCGCAUGGUGAAUGCCUAGGCACUAGAAGCCGAUGAAGGACGUGACGAACCACGAAAGGCUUCGGGGAGCAGUAAGUAAGCGAUGAUCCGGAGAUAUCCGAAUGGGGGAACCCAAUACCGCGAGGUAUUAUCAAGAGCUGUUAAGGCUGUUGAAGGAAGACGCAGUGAACUGAAACAUCUAAGUAGCUGCAGGAAGAGAAAGAAAAAUCGAUUUCCCAAGUAGCGGCGAGCGAACAGGAAAGAGCCCAAACCAGCUGGCUUGCCAGUUGGGGUAGUAGGACUGCAAUAAAGUACUUGAAGCGAUAGCAGAAUUAUCUGGAAAGAUAAGCCAGAGAGGGUGAGAGCCCCGUAAGCGAAAUUGCAGAGAGACUUAGCAGGAUCCUGAGUAGGUCGGGACACGAGGAAUCCCGAUUGAAACCGCGAGGACCAUCUCGCAAGGCUAAAUACUAACUAGUGACCGAUAGUGAACCAGUACCGUGAGGGAAAGGUGAAAAGAACCCCGGAAGGGGAGUGAAAGAGAACCUGAAACCGUGUGCCUACAAGUAGUCAAAGCACAUUAAAGUGUAAUGGCGUGCCUUUUGUAGAAUGAACCGGCGAGUUACGUUAUGGUGCAAGGUUAAGUCAGAAAAGACGGAGCCGGAGCGAAAGCGAGUCUGAAGAGGGCGAGAGAGUAUCAUGACGUAGACCCGAAACCAAGUGACCUACCCAUGACCAGGUUGAAGGCGUGGUAAAACACGCUGGAGGACCGAACCCACGUGAGUUAAAAAUCGCGGGGAUGAGUUGUGGGUAGCGGUGAAAUUCCAAACGAACUUGGAGAUAGCUGGUUCUCUCCGAAAUAGCUUUAGGGCUAGCCUCGUGUGAAUGAUAAUGGAGGUAGAGCGCUGUUUGGACUAGGGGCCCGUCAGGGGUUACUGAAUCCAGAUAAACUCCGAAUGCCAGAUAUCAAUGCACGGGAGUCAGACUGCGAGUGAUAAGAUCCGUAGUCGAAAGGGAAACAGCCCAGAUCACCAGUUAAGGUCCCCAAAUCUAUGCUAAGUGGAAAAGGAUGUGGAGUUGCGUAGACAACUAGGAUGUUGGCUUAGAAGCAGCCACCAUUUAAAGAGUGCGUAAUAGCUCACUAGUCGAGUGACGCUGCGCCGAAAAUGUACCGGGGCUAAGCAUAGUACCGAAACUGUGGAUGCAUAUCAAAGGAUAUGCGUGGUAGGAGAGCGUUCUAAGAGCGGCGAAGUUAGAUCGAGAGGACUAAUGGAGCGCUUAGAAGUGAGAAUGCCGGUAUGAGUAGCGAAAGAUAGGUGAGAAUCCUAUCCGCCGAAAGACUAAGGUUUCCUGGGGCAGGCUCGUCCGCCCAGGGUAAGUCGGGACCUAAGGUAAGGCCGAGAGGCGUAGCCGAUGGACAACAGGUAGAGAUUCCUGUACUGAAAUUGUUCGAUAAGAGCAAAGGAGGGACGCAGGAGGCUAAUGACGCAUGUAGCUGGAAAAACAUGUGCAAGCAGUAAGAAAAAAGAUGAGUCAAAUGCUUAUGUUUAGAUUUCAAGCUGUGACGCGGAGUGAAAUCAAAGUAGCGAAGGUCAUGAUGUCACACUGCCAAGAAAAGCUUCUAGCCAGAGCAAUUUUACCCGUACCGCAAACCGACACAGGUAGUCGAGUGGAGAACACUCAGGUGAGCGAGAGAACUCUCGUUAAGGAACUCGGCAAAAUGACCCCGUAACUUCGGGAGAAGGGGUGCUGAGCGCAAGCUCAGCCGCAGUGAAUAGGCCCAGGCGACUGUUUAUCAAAAACACAGGUUUCUGCAAAAUCGUAAGAUGAAGUAUAGGGGCUGACGCCUGCCCGGUGCUGGAAGGUUAAGAGGAGUGCUUAGCGUAAGCGAAGGUAUGAAUUGAAGCCCCAGUAAACGGCGGCCGUAACUAUAACGGUCCUAAGGUAGCGAAAUUCCUUGUCGGGUAAGUUCCGACCCGCACGAAAGGCGUAAUGAUUUGGGCACUGUCUCAACGAGAGACUCGGUGAAAUUUUAGUACCUGUGAAGAUGCAGGUUACCCGCGACAGGACGGAAAGACCCCAUGGAGCUUUACUGCAGUUUGAUAUUGAGUAUCUGUACCACAUGUACAGGAUAGGUAGGAGCCUAUGACCUCGGGACGCCAGUUUCGAGUGAGGCGUUGUUGGGAUACUACCCUUGUGUUAUGGCUACUCUAACCCAGAUAGGUUAUCCCUAUCGGAGACAGUGUCUGACGGGCAGUUUGACUGGGGCGGUCGCCUCCUAAAAGGUAACGGAGGCGCCCAAAGGUUCCCUCAGAAUGGUUGGAAAUCAUUCGCAGAGUGUAAAGGUAUAAGGGAGCUUGACUGCGAGAGCUACAACUCGAGCAGGGACGAAAGUCGGGCUUAGUGAUCCGGUGGUUCCGCAUGGAAGGGCCAUCGCUCAACGGAUAAAAGCUACCCUGGGGAUAACAGGCUUAUCUCCCCCAAGAGUUCACAUCGACGGGGAGGUUUGGCACCUCGAUGUCGGCUCGUCGCAUCCUGGGGCUG